Molecule: ribosomal RNA, 255 nt
Filed under: uncultured bacterium
Lineage: Bacteria
Description: partial 16S ribosomal RNA
Rfam family: Bacterial small subunit ribosomal RNA
Source: RNAcentral
UACGGAGGGUGCGAGCGUUUAAUCGGAAUUACUGGGCGUAAAGGGUGCGUAGGUGGUUUGAUAAGUUAUCUGUGAAAGUCCUGGGCUUAACCUAGGGAGGUCAGAUAAGACUGUUGAGCUAGAGUAUAGGAGAGGGUAGUGGAAUUUCCGGUGUAGCGGUGAAAUGCGUAGAGAUCGGAAGGAACACCAGUGGCGAAGGCGGCUACCUGGCCUAAUACUGACACUGAGGCACGAAAGCGUGGGGGAGCAAACAGG